Molecule: RNase P RNA, 378 nt
Filed under: Actinomycetota bacterium
Lineage: Bacteria; Bacillati; Actinomycetota
Description: RNase P RNA component class A
Rfam family: Bacterial RNase P class A
About the family: Ribonuclease P (RNase P) is a ubiquitous endoribonuclease, found in archaea, bacteria and eukarya as well as chloroplasts and mitochondria. Its best characterised activity is the generation of mature 5'-ends of tRNAs by cleaving the 5'-leader elements of precursor-tRNAs.
Source: RNAcentral
UGGGCCGUCCGACCCGCCGCUGGGUUUCGGGUCCUCCCGGAGCUCAGAGCAAAGGCCGGACUCGUAGCAGAGGCCGCUCGGGCCAACAACCCGAGGGGCGGCGCGGCGCAAGCCCGCCGGCACGUCAAGUGCAACAGAGAGCAGACCAGCCGAUGGACCGGGUGCCCCCGGUCACAGGUGAUGGGUGAAAGGGUGGGGUAAGAGCCCACCGGCGGUAUCCCGCGAGGGACCGGCCAGGUAAACACCGGUGCGAGCAAGCCAAAUUUGUCCGGAUCUCCCCGGACAUGGUAGGCGCGGCUCCCCCAGGGAGCCCGGGGCAAGUCCCCGGAGAUGGAUGGCGGGAUAGAGCAGAAUCCGGCUUACUGGACGGCCCGAUCC